This 615-nucleotide unclassified non-coding RNA is filed under the name Hevea brasiliensis (rubber tree). The record is from RNAcentral. Lineage: Eukaryota; Viridiplantae; Streptophyta; Magnoliopsida; Malpighiales; Euphorbiaceae.
GACAAUUCAUUAGCCAUCCAUCUGAUACUUAUGCUCUCUCCCUAAACUACCAAAUUAAGUAAACACAGCUCACUUCAAUAUGCAUUACAUAUAUGCACCCGCAGAGUCUGAUGAAUUGAAAAUUUACAAUGAAAUAUUCUAUAUUCUUCUGUUGUAUAUUUUCAUAUCCAGUCGGCAAUUUGAAACUUUUUUUUCACCUUUUCUGUUUUAGAAGAAAUGAAGGGGCAGAGGAUGGGAGGUCACAUGGGGGAAGAUAUUGUUGCAGAGAGCUGACCUGACCUGACCUGACAAUGCCGGAGCUGAAACCAGAACUAAAAACCGAAACCAGUACUCUGCAACUGUUUUCCCAUACAUUCUCGCUCUUGCCUUCUCUUUCUCUCGAAGAAUUUGUUUCCUCGCUCGCUUUCUGUCUGCGUGCGUGUGGCAUUCCUCUGUAACGGAAAACAACGUGAAGCUUGAACUCAAACAUCACAUAAUUAUUUUUUUCCAGGUUCCCUGAUUUGCCCACCAAAAUCUGCAGUUGUUUACUCGCGGUGCCCCUGAUCGAAGUUACCGUUCGCAAUGUCUAGGCCGCUACCGGUAGGGUUUUUAUUUUAAUUUAUCAUUUAAUUUUAG